CUAAUGAGCGAUAGGUCAAGAUUCCUGGAAUGGGUUUUGGUCAAAACGGCGUGACAGCAUCUUGUCGUGACCGCCCGAGGAUGGGACUGCGGCCGAUCAGGCUGUUGGUGGGGUAAAGGCCCACCAAACCAGUAACCGGUACGGGCUUUGAGAGAAGGAGCCCGGAGAUGGACACUGAGACAAGGGUCUAGGUCCUACGGGGCGCAGGAGGCGCGAAACCUUCGCAAUGCGCGCAAGCGCGACGAGGUUAUUCCGAGUGAUUUCCGCUGAGGAAAUCUUUUCUUAGAUCUAAAAAGUCUGGGGAAUAAGGGGAGGGCAAGUCUGGAGUCUGCCGCCGCGGAAAUACCACCUCCUCGAGUGGUCAGGGCGUUUUAUUGGGCCUAAAGCAUCCGUACCCUGUUCGGUAGGUCUCCUGGUAAAUCCAAA
RNAcentral lists this ribosomal RNA (426 nucleotides) under uncultured archaeon. RNAcentral describes it as "bacterial SSU rRNA". It matches the Rfam family "Archaeal small subunit ribosomal RNA", at positions 146 to 555 of the family's 1478-position model. The record is from RNAcentral.